GCCAGCAGCCAUAUCACCCUGCAACUCACAACUGGUAACCCACUGAAGCUAAGCAGGUAUGAGCCUGGUCAGUACCUGGAUGGGAGACCUCUUGGGGAAAAACUAAGGUUGCUGCUGGAA
Ribosomal RNA from Lepisosteus oculatus (spotted gar), 120 nucleotides. The record is from Ensembl. NCBI's taxonomy places the organism in Eukaryota, Metazoa, Chordata, Actinopteri, Semionotiformes, Lepisosteidae.